AUGGUCAGCUUGAAGAUGAAGAGACGGGUCUGGCCGUGAAGUGACUUCAUGGAAGGCAAGGCAGGGCCCGAACGGUCAGUGGGCCCAGAGUCUGGUCCCAUUUGGGGCUGGACGAGCGCUGUGUGGAUACUGGGGUGUUGCGUGGGAUUUGAGUCCUGUGGGACCUUCUGCUGGUCGUGUGACCUUGGGCGGGCCAGACUCUUGCCUCCAGGGCCUCCAUUUUCUCAGCUGUAAAGUGGGCUCAGGGAUUCCUUGGGAGGGCUUCCUGCAGGACUGGAGUUACUGAGCUGGAUGCAGAAAGCCUGCAGCAGCCCAGGCUCUGAAACCAAGUGGCUUUUCUUUCUGGGGUCGGGAGACCAGGGUUUACUGCACAGCUGGACCGCUCAGAGCGAGGACGGGGGGCGUGUGAAAGGCCGCAGAGGCCCUGGUCCCCAUCGGGAUGCUCUGACCUGACUCUCUGGAUGUGGGGUCUGACAUGCCGGCUUCUGGGCCAGGUAGUGAAACUCAGGUUGAGAGUCCCAUCCCCAGCAACUGUCCUGAUGGCAGUUGACCCCAUGUAGCACGGAGGGCAGGGUGGCCAGGCCAGCUUCCGACAGAGAUGGAAGGCCAAGGGUGGCGAGCUCAGACACAGCUGGGCUGGCUUCUUGGCCACUGGGGACAGGCUGGCUACACAGCUCUGGGGGCCCAGUGCAGAAUAAGAACAUGGGCCCCUUGUUCAAAGAGCAGGAAGCAAAACCCACAAAAAAGGCACUGACAUGCAGAGCUUCUCCCUUUCUGCUGUGGUGGCUCCUCCGACUGCUGGUGUUUUUUCUUUGCUAUUUAAUGUGGGUCUAAGUGAAGAAAAAUUAUACUUUUAAGUUAUUAGCGUGAAUUUCACCACUCAGUUUCAUGUUGUGCAACACCAGUUCAAAGCACAAAUACAAGAGUGUUUAUGUGCGGAAUCAUUGAAAUUACACAACUUGCAUUUGUAGUUGGUACAAAUGCAUUGUAACCAGAACUGUGGAAAUGCUGCUCAAAAAAACGAACCCGGCUGUUUUCCUUUCACUUCUCGAUACACACACAUUCUUCCAAGACCCUGCCUUUGGAGAGAGGCUUACUGAAAGAAGGAGUAGUAGUUGCACUGUAUUGCAUGUGGAAUCUGACCCCUGCUGUGGAAGUGUGGAGUCUUGAUCACUGAACCACCAGCGAAGUCCUCUGAGCAUCUUAACACUUAUGAUGGGGGCUGCCAAUCAUAAUCUCCCACCCACUGACUGCAGUGAUUAGCUCAAGAUGGGCAUGUGACCCACACUGGGCCAAUCAGAGCCCUCUCUGGCAUAAUGUCCCACCCACUGACUGCAGUGAUUGGUCUAAAGAUGGGCAUGUGACCCACACUGGGCCAGUCAGAGCUUUCUCUGGGAUUUCUUCUUUGGGGCUGGAUGAAGGCUAGUUCUUUUCCUCCAUGAGAUGAGCUGUCCUUUGUUCUGUGGAGAGGCAGGUCUGAGAGAAAGAAGGUGCCCAGGAAAGAGAGAAGCAGAUGAAGACAAAGGAAGUGUCCAGGUCUGAGUGUCCGGCUCUGGCCCACUUGAGCUUGCUGGUGCCACACCGCAAAGGCACGCUGAUAAAGCUGAUACCCAGACGGACACUUCAGGAUCAGCUGUAAAAGGCAGGUGUGAUAUGUAUGCAACCUCGGAAGGAACUUCCAGCUCUGAGGACCUCAAUUUCCCCAUGUCUCCCUGGUUGUCCUGGGGGGUAACGUGAAGCCUGGCACACAGAAGGUGCCAUGUGAACACGGGUCAACAGAUGACACCUUCUAAGGGUGAUCUUUUCUGGAACGUGGCCCGCCCAAGGUCACGCAGUUGGUGAGGCCCAGCUGGGUAGCUGUUGUCUCUUCUCUGAGGGCAUGACCUCCUGGGGUGACCCGGGCCAACACUGUGUUAAGUCCUGGGUGUGCCCUCCAGGAGGAGGCGGGGCAGGGAUUAGCACCCAGGGCCCCAGCCACUCGGGAAGGUCGCCUGCUCUCUGCGAGGCCUGGCGCCGUGAACAUGGGGCCAGCUGGUUGCUGGGGGGGAGGGACCAGGGGGGAAUCUGACACCCCCGGACACUUGGUCCUGUCACUCCCAGGGGAUUUGGUGAGCUGGUGGGAACUUGGUCAGGUACAUGAUGUGCUGGGUGGCCGGGAGGUGGGGGAGUUGGUAAGUUCUGUCUGUGAGUCCAGGGCACGACCAGGCACAUAGUAGGUGCACCACGAGCAUUUCUCUGUGGAUGGAGGAAGAGGAGAGCGCUGGGCGUCCCAUCUACAAUCCAAACCAGGCUUCCCUAGCUCCAUCUCGGCUCCCACCGCGCUCUCAGAGCUGAAGUCCAGAAGAUGUGAGAGUCACCCCUGCUUCCUGCACUGGCCGCUCUCCACAGGCCACCCAUCACUAAGACCUGACGGGUCCUCCUCCAAACAUGCCCGAGCCCGUGCUCGGCCGCCUCCCUGCCUCGCCACCCUCUCUUGUUCCCACCCCUGCCCCUCCUCCCCAGGGAGCAAUGGUGAGUCAGGCGCCGUGUCGGUGGUCGGGUCAGCCCCCUGUGUGAAACCCGCGGCAUCAAGCCCAGUGCAAACUCUGCCCGCGAGGCCCUCUUCUUCUCCUUCCUGCAGAGCCCCAGUCCCAUGGCUCUCAGUUCCGCUCCUUAAAUACUCCGAGUGCCACUGAGUUCCUGCCUCAGGUCUAUGCUUAAGCCGUUCAUUCCUCUUUAUGUUCUCAGGGCUGGUUUCCUCUCGUCUGGCAGGUCUCACCAGUAUUUGAAGCUUCGUUCUUAUCUUCUUGCAAUUCUUUCUUGCAGUCAUUAGUUUGAUGUUAUGUUAAAGGGACGUGUCUUGGACAGGAUCGGGAUGAAGAAGCUGGUGGAUGAUUGGAAGAUUUUGGAAGAGGGGCGAGGCACUCUUCAUGAAAAUGAAUGGUUUGCCAAGUAGUCAUCCAUUAAACUAUCCUGUCUCUCUCCUUCUCGUUCUUCCAUUCGCUCACUCACCCAUCCACCCAUCCAUCUGCCCAUCCUUCCAUCCACCCAUCCGUCCAUUCACUGCCCACCACCCUUCCAUCCAUCUACCUGUCUGUCCAUCCACUCUUACACUCAUCCAUCCAUCAUCCAUCCAUCCACAUUCUUAGAGUCUCUGAGCAACUGCACACACAUCUGAGCCACCGAAGGCCUUAGGGACAGAGAAGGCUGGCAUUAGAGAACCACAGAGCCAAGAUCCUGGGUUCCCCGCACCCUAGGACUCUAGAAUCUGAGUCCAUUAAAUCCCGGACAACAACAGAAUAUCAGGAUCGGAGGAUUUUAGAAUUGCAGGGAAAGGGGCUGGCUGAGCAAGUUUUCAGUACCCCACUCCUGUAUCGCCACUGCCUUCAUUUCACAUUUAUUUAUUGAGCAUCUACUGAGUGCUGAGCACUAGGCCACUCGGGAGAGACCCAUGAACUAAGCCAGCAACAAUCCCUACCUCCUGGGCUUCGCCCCAGGGAGGAGGCAGUGACUGUACGCAAGGAGCUGACCCAGCAGGAGAGGAGGUGCGGGCUGCGGAUUUGGGUAUAACUCAUCACCACCUGUAUUACUUACCUAGUAUUUUCUUUAAGUUGACUCACUUCAAACACACAAAGAGAUUUUUUAAAAGGGAAGCUUUAUCUCGCCGAACAUAACAGGAAACUGAUAUCGUGGCUGCCAACAGACGGUGUCUUCAAAAAUAAACACAGUGGGAAGAAAACACUGUCAGGAGAACCCUGCUCCUCCUUGAGAUCUCUCGAGGUCUGCACCCCCUUUGUUGCGAAGGGUGGUGGGAGCUGCCAAAGACAGGAAGUUGUAAGGAUACAGAGAGGUUGGAAAGGAAAAAGUUAAUGUUUAAACAUCCUCUCCCCAUACCAGACCAUCCUUAGGCCUGGCCUCUGUCUUCCUCUUCUGUCCUGUUCAGCUGUGUGAGGUGGGGCAAGGUCACUGAACCUCUCUGAGCCUCAAAUCUGGAAACAGACAUGAUGGAGGCACUUUCCUCCUGGGGCUGUUGUAGGGAUUAAUUAAAGAAGGUGCUUCAGAGGGGCUGAAGGCUUAGGGUUUGUAACUCCUCCCCCUGCCCCGCCCCCUCCAGAAAUGUUUCAUGCCUAUCUCAUCUGGACAGUCUUCCAUGCUGCUUGGGGAAGGGUCCACCUCCCCCCCACCCUGCCCCCGCCCGGCCGACCCCCACCAUGGGAGCUGCUCAGGAAGCCUCCUCUGGGCUGAGCCUCUAGGACGGCAGCUCCAGGCAAUUUAUGAGGCUGUAGCUCCCUGCUCCCUGGUUCCUCCCAGCAGCGUGGCUCUUGCCCACCCCUGGCUGUAUUUCAUGCCCAUCAAGAUUUAGGGUUCCAACCAUUUUCCUGUAGGGAAAUCGGGCCAAGGGGAAUUUUAAAGCAGUUUUAUCAGCUAUAUCAUGCUCACUUUACUUGGCGGGAGAAUUACAGGUGGGGUUGGACAAGUGCUCGGAACAGGCGAUAAACUCCUUAUGUCUUUAUUCCCUGCAAGAAGGGGCUGUGGGGCCAGGCAGACCCCCCGGAGGCCUCGAGUUCAGAUGGCUUUGAAUCCCUGCAUCUAGACCUUCCAAAGGAUCCUGAGGCUUAAAUCCAGGUGUGACAGAUGUGGUUUGUUCAUUUGUUCAUUCAUCCACUCAUUCGUCCAUUCAUUCAUUCAUUCAGCAGGCAGGCAGACUCCCUGUGGCCCAGUGGACCCCGUCUCCUAUCUACUUUCCCAACAGAGGAGAGAGAGGGUUCACCUCAAAGCAUAGGCUCCCUUCCCACCAGCUCCAGGGAGAAUGUCAGGAGCGAAGAGGCGGAAACAGCCCAAGUGCCCAUCACAGAUGAAAACAGCACAAGACGGUCUGUUCUUCCAGCGGAGUUUGAUUCAGCCUUCAAAAGGAAUGAGAUACUGACACAGGCGACCACGUGGAUGAACAUGGAAAACCCAAAGUGAAAGAAGCCAGACACAGGAGGACAAAUACUGUGUGCUUCCACUUAGAUGUGCUCAUCCAUAGGGGGAGGGUAGACGUUAACAGGGGCUGUGCGGAGGAGGGGUGGGGGCUCAUUGCUUGGUGGGAACAGAGUUACUGUUUGGGGUGCUGAAAACAUUUUGGAAUUAGUGGUGAUGGUUGCACAAGAUUAUGACAUUGUGAAUGUACUUAAUAUUACUGAAUUGUUCACUUAAAAUGGUUUUAAGUGGUGAACUUAA
Long non-coding RNA from Cervus elaphus (red deer), 5202 nucleotides. RefSeq lists it as uncharacterized. The record is from RefSeq and is a predicted model, not a curated record. NCBI's taxonomy places the organism in Eukaryota, Metazoa, Chordata, Mammalia, Artiodactyla, Cervidae. The transcript is spliced from 8 exons.